RNAcentral lists this ribosomal RNA (379 nucleotides) under uncultured organism. Its description in RNAcentral is "partial 16S ribosomal RNA". It matches the Rfam family "Bacterial small subunit ribosomal RNA", at positions 526 to 896 of the family's 1533-position model. The record is from RNAcentral.
GUAGGGGGGCGAGCGUUGUCCGGAUUUAUUGGGCGUAAAGAGCUCGUAGGCGGCUCAGCAAGUCGGCCGUGAAAGCCUGAGGCUCAACCUCAGGACGCCGGUCGAAACUGCUGUGGCUAGGGUUCGGUAGAGGAGAGUGGAAUUCCCGGUGUAGCGGUGAAAUGCGCAGAUAUCGGGAGGAACACCAGUAGCGAAGGCGGCUCUCUGGGCCGAUACCGACGCUGAGGAGCGAAAGCUAGGGGAGCGAACAGGAUUAGAUACCCUGGUAGUCCUAGCUGUAAACGUUGGGCACUAGGUGUGGCGGACUCAUUGACGUCUGCCGUUGCCGAAGCUAACGCAUUAAGUGCCCCCCGCCUGGGGUAGUACGGUCGCAAGGCUA